UAAUAAGAAAUCUAAGGGCGUACGGUGGAUGCCUAGACUGAAAGAAGCGAUGAAGGGCGUGGCGUGUCUGCGAUAAGCUUCGGGGAGGUGACUAGCAACCUUUGAUCCGGAGAUUUCCGAAUGGGGAAACCCUCUGCCUUUGGCAGAACUUAUUUAUUUAUUAAAUGAGAGCGUACCCGCUGAAGUGAAACAUCUCAGUAAGCGGAGGAAAAGAGAACAACAUAAUAGUACUCACAUUGCAUUACAUAUAGUUUGCGAUGCAGUGCGAGUACUUGUGAUUUCCUAAGUAGCGGCGAGCGAAAAGGAAGAAGCCCAAACCUCACACUUCGGUGUGGGGGGUUGUAAGGUAACAGUUUCAUCUUUAUGAUGAGAAGAGUCAAAAAAUAUUUUGUUAAUUGAAUUUGCUGGGAAGCAAAACCCAAGAGCGUUAAAGUCGCGUAAGUGAAAACAAAGUAUCUCUUUUAUUGUUAUUCUUGAGUAGCCCAAGACACGAAUAGCUUGGGUGAAUCUGCCGGAACUAACCGGUAAGGCUAAAUAUUCUUUCAGAUCGAUAGUGAACUAGUACCGUGAGGGAAAGGUGAAAAAUACCCCGGUGAGGGGAGUGAAAUAGAUCUGAAACCGUAUGUCUACAAGGAGUCGGAGUGGUGCUUGCACCACGACGGCGUGCCUAUUGAAGAAUGAGCCAACGAGUUCAUAUAUACUGCGUGGCUAACUGCGUAAAAUGCAGGAAGUCGUAGGGAAACCGAGUGUGAAUAGCGCGACAUUUUGUAGUAUGUAUGAGACCCGAAGCCAGAUGAGCUUGCCAUGGACAGGGUGAACGCUUGCGAAAGUGAGCAGGAGGCCCGAACCGGUUGGUCGUACAAUUCCAUCGGAUGAUCUGUGGUAAGAAGUGAAAAGCUAAUCGAAUCUGGUAAUAGCUGGUUCUCUCCGAAAUAGCUUUAGGGUUAGCGUUCGGUUUACCUUUUGGGGGUAGAGCACUGGAAGGCGUAAAUAGGGAGAAAUCUCGUUAUGCCUAUCAAACUCCGAAUACCAAGAGUCAAAUACCGAGCAGUUAGACUGUGGGGGCUAAGCUCCACUGGUCGAAAGGGAAACAGCCCAGAUCUCAAGUUAAGGUCCCUAAAUUUACAUUAAGUGCACUUAAGGAUGUGAGAUUUCUCUGACAAUGAGGAUGUUGGCUUAGAAGCAGCCACCAUUUAAAGAAAGCGUAACAGCUCACUCAUUCAGAGGUUUUGCGCCGCAGAUUAUCGGGGCUAAAUGUAAUACCGAAACUGAGGGCUUCUUAUUCAUUCGUGAGUAAGGAGCGGUAGGAGAGCAUUCCAUUCUGCGAUGAAGCCAAAGGGGUAACCCAUGGUGGAGCGUAUGGAAGUGAGAAUGUUGGCACAAGUAACCGCAAUCUCGUUGAGAAUACGGGACGCCGAAAAACCAAGGUUUCCUUGGCGAUGUUAAUCAGCCAAGGGUUAGUCGGGCCUAAGCGGAUGGUGAAAACCGUACGCGAUGGACACAUGGUUAAUAUUCCAUGACUUUCUUUUUAUGCGAUGGGGGGACGGAGUGUAGUAUGUCGAGCGUAUUAUUUGGAUUUACGUUUGUGGUGUGAGGAUGCUCUUUUGGAAAAUCCGGAGAGUAAAUUUUAGCACAGUAAAAAUUUUGCGGCCUCGGCCAAUGAAAAUUUGACAAAGCACACUUCCAAGAAAAGCCUCUAAGCUUCAGUAAAAAGAAAACCGUACCGCAAACCGACACAGGUGGUUAGGUCGAGAAGACCUAGGCGAACGAGUGAGUGUUCCUCAAGGAACUCGGCAAACAAGCGACCGUAACUUCGGAAUAAGGUCUGCCCCUGCUUUUUGCAGGGGCCGCAGCGAAAGUUUUCCGGGCAACUGUUUAUCAAAAACACAGCUCCCUGCGAACUCGCAAGAGGAUGUAUAGGGGGUGACGCCUGACCAAUGCCAGAAGGUUAAGCACGAAGGGUACGCAUCAUAUUGCACAUGAUUUAGUCGUGUUCAGUAUGAUGCGUGCUGGGUUGUGUAAGCCCUGGUGAAUGUCGGCCGUAACUAUAAGUCGUUGUAGUUACGCCAAAAAAUCUUGCUAUAUGCGGGAAACUCUGACCAAAAACAUUCUUAGGAUGUUUUUAAAGUAUCUGAUAGUACUCAUCAAAAUCGAAUUGAUAGUAACAAUCUAUUCAGUGCAGACAAUCCGCAGGAAAGAUUCUGUUUUUAACACAUUAUAUUAUGGAUGAUCAUAAAAAAUGGUUAAAUGAUUUCGACCAAAGCCUCGGAAACUACAUUGCUGGUUUCGUAGAUGGUGAAGGUAGCUUUAACGUAUCGUUAAAGAAGAGAAAAGAUUAUAAAAAUGACUGGAAAUUACAUCCGUCAUUUAAUAUUUCUCAAAAAGAUCGUGUUAUUUUAGCUCUUUUUAAAAAAGAACUAGGAUGUGGAACUUUAAGAGAAAGAAAAGAUGGUGUUGUUUACUACGAAGUAGUAAACAUAGAAAUGUUACAAAAAAGGAUAAUUCCUUUUUUUAAGAGAUUUCAUUUUUUAUCUGCUAAUAAAAAGAGAAAUUUUUCUAUUUUUCUGCAAAUAAUCGAUCUUAUUUAUAAGAAAGAGCAUUUACAAAAAAGCGGUUUUAGGAAAAUCUUAGAACUAAGAGAAAGGUUAAAUCUUGGAGCGGGUAGAACAAGAAAAUAUAACAUUGGAGACAUUAUUAAAAAAUAAAACAGAAAAUCCUCACAGACUAUACGCAAGACAUCUUAUAAUUCGAAUAAUUGCCGACUGAAUUGUAAGUAAAGAUAUAGUCGAGUCCUUAUGGCAACAUAAGGUCAGUACACUAGUUGAAAUGUGUAUUGAGUAAAAUAUCAACAAACGGUCCUAAGGUAGCGAAUUUCCUUGUCUGGUAAGAAGUUGCCAGUUACGACAGUGAUGUCGUGAGCAAAACCGGCUAAUAACGGUGAAGUCCUCGUUGGAGUGCUAUUAACAAGAAUAGCGCCAUGAAGACAGGAUAAUACCGUGGGAAGUCGUCCAUUUUAAAUGGAUUGACCCCGUAUCGACUGAAGUCGCUGAAAAGCGAUGGAGAUAGCAAAUGCUCAAGUACAAGAUACUUGAAUCACAUUGCUAUAACACGCCGGCUCCACAUAAGUGGAUGAAGAUAUAGUCAGUGCUAUUAGAAAUAAUAGAUAAACAUGAAGUUCAGACGUGCACGAAUGGCGUAAUGACCUGGAAACUGUCUCGAGGAACAGCUCGGUGAAAAUGCAAUACCGGUGAAGACGCCGGUUACCUGCAGCUAGACGAAAAGACCCCGGGAGCUUUACUGUAGCUUCGUAUUGGGCCUGCGAUUUAAUUGCAUAGCAUAGGUGGGAGACUUUGAUAUUUACCUUUUGGGGUAAGUGGAGUCGUCAGUGAAAUACCACUCUGUUGAAUUUCAGGUUCUAACCACGACGGCAAAAACGGCGUGGAACAGUGCGUGGCAGGCAGUUUUAGUGGGGCGCUAUCCUCCUAAAAAGUAACGGAGGAGUUUAUUAAGGUCAACUAGGCGCGAAUGGAAACCGUGCCGAUAGUGUAAUGGCACAAGUUGGCUUAACUGCGAGACGUACAUGUCGAGCAGAUGCGAAAGCAGAACAUAGUGAACCGAUGGUCCGCAUUAGAUGCGGCCAGAGAUUAACGGAUAAAAGCUACCCCGGGGAUAACAGGCUGGUUCCGCCCAAGAGUUCAUAUCGACGGCGGAGUUCGGCACCUCGAUGUCGGCUCAACUUAUCCUGGUGCUGGAGAAGGUGCCAAGGGUUUGGCUGUUCGCCAAUUAAAAAGUUACGCGAGCUGGGUUCAGACCGUUUAGGAGUGAAUUUAAUAUUGACUUCUAAACAAAUCUGAAUCAAUACAAUCGAUUUUAGUUAUCUUCUUUUCGUUUAAGGAAGAAAUAUAAAAUUUUAAAGAAUUUUAAACCAAUCAAAUCACGGCGGUCACUUCAUUUAAUGAAGUAGAAAAAGUCGGAGUUAUCGGUAAAAUCCCUGUAUAUUUUUAAUGGGACAAUACCGAGAGGAUGCAAAUCCUUGUAGAGACUACAAACCGACCUCUUGCAGAAUAUUAUUUUGUUAAGAGAAUGUAUAGUCCGUGCUAUUGGUAACAGUAGAUAACAUGCGUGAGACAGGUUGGUCUCCUAUCUGCUGCAGGCGUUGAUUUUUGAGAAGAUCUCUCUCUAGUACGAGAGGACCGAGAGGGACUGACCUCUGGUGUACCAGCUGUUCCGCCAGGAGCAUCGCUGGGUAGCUAUGUCGGGAAUGGAUAACCGCUGAAAGCAUCUAAGUGGGAAGCCAACUUCAAGAUUAGAAAUCAUAGAUCCCUAGGAGAUGACUAGGUUGAUAGGCCUUAGGUGUAAGUACAGCAAUGUAUUUAGCCGAGAGGUACUAAUUCAUCGUCUCUUAUUAGG
RNAcentral lists this ribosomal RNA (4410 nucleotides) under Minisyncoccota bacterium. RNAcentral describes it as "23S ribosomal RNA". It matches the Rfam family "Bacterial large subunit ribosomal RNA". Lineage: Bacteria; Bacillati; Minisyncoccota. The record is from RNAcentral.